GUGAUGUCCUGGGCAGUUUAUAACUGCAAAUGUUUAUGGCUGCAGGCAGAGGAGUUAUACCAAGCCGUGAUGCUUUCCUAUGGUGUAUCAAUAAAAAUUGGUAAAGGGGAUAUGUCAAAGUUCUUAAAGCCUUGGGGUUUAUUUGAAGGACAAGUAGAGAAUGUUUAUUUGUUCACCUGUGUACUUAAUAGAGAAGGUGGAUAAAUUUCUGCUUUACGACAAUUUUUACUCAAUUGAAUUCUUAGGCAAGAAAGUUAAUUGCAUGUGAUUUUCACUGCCUGCAUUUUUAAAAAGCAUUCAUUUGUAUUUUUCAACGGCCUGUCUACAUAGUCUCCACAGACUAUUUCUCCAAGACCUGAUAGUGCCAUUGGUGAAAGUUCUGCAUUGUCAUUCUGUCAAUAGCUAGAUUAGUUUCACUGAGUUCCUAGCUGCUGCAGAGAUAGUACAUUUGGUGGGUGCUCAUCUAUAUCCUGCUGUGACAUUAACCUGUUUUUACAGGUGUUUAUCCCUUGGGAUUAAGGAGAAAGAUCAGAAAAAUUAUCCCUGAGAGAUGGAAGGGAAUCCCAGGGUAUCCUGGCAGAAGUGGGUAAAGAAGCACCUCCGAUUAUAUUGACUGCUCUAUUGUGACUAGGGCCAAGUGAGUGUCCACAAAUAGUAACCUGCCAGGAGAUGAAGACUCAAGAUCAGGUGACAGUUUUGGAUGCAACACAACACUGGCAGGAUAAUUCUACGAUGCUAUCGGUGGCCUAAAGCCGUGUGAAGAGCCAUUGAGAUUGCGUCUGCCAUUGACCUAUUGUGACGACAGGCAAAUUGCAAUGGGUCCAGAUCCUUGCUGAGGCAGGAGUUCAGUAAAGUCAUCACCAACCUCUCAAAGCAUUUCAUCACUGUCGAUGUGAGUGCUACCGGGCGAUAGUCAUUAAGGCAGCUCACAUUAUUCUUCUCGGAGUAUGUUGCAGAAAGUUGUAAAAUUAGUCAGCUCCAUCAUGGGUACUAGCCUCCAUAUUAUCCAAGAGAUCUUCAAGGAGCAGUGCCUCAGAAAGGUGACGUCCAUCAUUAAGGACCCCCGUCACCCAGGACAUGAUGUCCUCUUCUCAUUGUUACUGUCAGGAAGGAGGUUCAGGGGCCUGAAGGUACACACACAACAAUUCAAGGAAAAGCUUCUUCCCCUCUGCCAUCUGAUUUCUGGGUGGAUAUUGAACCCAUGAACAGUACCCCACUACUUUUUAAAAAUUUAUUUCUGCUUUUUGCACUAUUUUAAUUUAACUAUUUAAUAUAGAUAUAUACUGUAAUUCUUUUCUUUCCUAUAUUUAUCAUGAAUUGCUUUGUACUGCUGUGAAAAGUAACAAAUUUCACGACAUGCUGGUGAUAUUAGACCUGAUUCUGAAGGCCAGUGUCCCAUUAUCUGCACUGGGUGCCUGUGCUGAUUUUGUUCAUUUACAGUCAAUCAAAAGAACACAGCAGGGUACACUGGAUGAAUUCCUCAUUAGGAACCAAUACAGUUUUGUAGUACUGAAGUAGUAUUGGUCAUGUUCUCGUUUGUUCUGCAUUUUAUUUCAAUACAUAAUUUGUUAUUCAAUUAAAUGGUUGCUUAUCUUCUUUCUUAUACUUGACUAGUCAUUUCUAUGAAACUUUGGCUAAUUGGGGCAGCUGCUGAAUGGGCCAAUGUGUCCCAAUUAACUGGAAUCCACUCUAUAGGAUAAAUGAUUCUUUCCCCCUUAGAUCAGCAAAGAUGGGUUAC
Mobula hypostoma (lesser devil ray) is the source of this 1738-nucleotide long non-coding RNA. RefSeq lists it as uncharacterized. The transcript has 3 exons. The record is from RefSeq and is a predicted model, not a curated record. NCBI's taxonomy places the organism in Eukaryota, Metazoa, Chordata, Chondrichthyes, Myliobatiformes, Myliobatidae.